This 1304-nucleotide long non-coding RNA is filed under the name Volvox carteri. RNAcentral's name for it is "long non-coding RNA (VCAR_LNC001241)". Lineage: Eukaryota; Viridiplantae; Chlorophyta; Chlorophyceae; Chlamydomonadales; Volvocaceae. The record is from RNAcentral.
CGGUGGGUCAGUCUGUUGGCGCUUUGCGUUUAUUUUGUUCCCUCUUUUGCCUGUGUAGAGGUGGCGCGUCCGCCGCCCCUGCUGCUGGGGUGUCGUUCGGAGGUCUUUCGAGGCGUUUGGCUUCGGGAGUUUCGGUGUGCGCGCCUGUCUGGCAGCUCUCACGUCUUUGGCCCUCUUGUGGCUCGGCACGAAGUGCCGUGGUGGUUCAGUAUUUCAACCGUUAGAGGGGGUAUCUUCUCCUUUGGCAUUUGUCUCUGACGCAACAACUUAUGCGAGCUUGCGUUAAGUAAGAGGGUUAGUUGGGAGUUGGGAGUAAGUUGGGCGUAAGGCCCAGUGCUGCCCGUGUCCUCAGGGCAGUAAUUCAUUGCGCGCAUUGCACUAAUAAGAUUAUCUUGAAUUUGUUGUUUAGCGCGUAAGCAUUGCUUAUACUCACGCUGAUCCUCCAAUGACGACAGUGUAAGGUAAAGCCUAAUGAAUUAGCAUCUUCAUAACAAGAAUCUGUCUUUCUUCCUCUAUAAUGGCGCAGCAUUCAUUCGCAGGCAAGCAGGGGAAAGCAGGAAAAGGGGGACUAGACGGCACCGGCAGUAAGUGGCCAUCAUGCAGGUGCAUACACUGACAUUAUGCCUUGUCAUUUUACAUUCCAAGGACACGAGCAGGAGAAUCGCAAGGAAUAGGACAAGCGCAAGGAUGGUGGUAAGGAUAUGAACAAGAGUCGGGCUCAAACGGGACGUGGCAUGCCACGUAGCGGCCGUUCGGAGGUAUGAAGCCUCUGGUUGCACGACCAUGGCUAUUAACUAAAUGCUUUUUAUUGCCUUAUUUCGAGGCACGUUAUGCCGGUGUCACACCUACAGCCGUCAUUGUACGUAACAUGCUCACAACUAUGUGUUCCUGCCUAAACAAUGAUUUGCUGUGAUCCUUUCAUAUGCAGAUUUAUGCCGUCGUUCGUGAAGAUGACAUCAGCGGAGGCGAGGAUUGAGCGCUUUAAUAAGAAGACAAUAGUGGCUGUAUUGUGGUACAUUUACAUGCGCUUAACAUUUGUGUGUCGAUUUUUUCUGACGUUAGACUGUUGGACCCUUUUCCAUGGUAAGAGUUGCUGGCUGAGUUGCAUCGGUCAUGUUAGGAUUUGCUAUGAAUUCGUACCUGUCAUUCAGGGAUAGUUCAAAUGUAUGAAGAAAGCAGUGAGUGCUGUGGUUCACAGCUGUGAACCUGCAGGUCAUGUGCAACGGCGGUGCACUUUGCACAUUGUACAGCUCGUGUACUGCUAUUGUAAAGCUUUUGUAUUGCACGGUUGGCCGUACAGUUCG